This is an RNA transcript of Ornithorhynchus anatinus (platypus), 523 nucleotides long. It is a transcript of the gene named toll like receptor adaptor molecule 2, with no coding region annotated. Lineage: Eukaryota; Metazoa; Chordata; Mammalia; Monotremata; Ornithorhynchidae. The record is from RefSeq and is marked inferred. The transcript is spliced from 2 exons.
AGGCGCGUGCGCAGCGCAUGCGCACGGAGCUCCAGCCGAAGAGGCCAGUGUUGAGGCGGGCGAGGAGGCCGGUGGUUGCAGUCGCCCUUCGGGACGAGAGCCUCCGCUGGACACGUUGAGAAGAAGGACACCGAAGAGAAAACCCAGAAGAGCACGACAGAAGCAAGACGUAUGCCCUGCCCUUAAGGAGCUUCCGAUCUAAUGAGGGAGACAGAGAGACAGAAGUGAUUUCCCAGUAGUGGGAACGGGAAGAAAAACAAGGAUAUGUCACGGAGUAGCGCAGACGUAUCUGGAUGAAAUAGCCGAAUGAGUAAUGAAAUCAUUGCAGCCGGAAUGACUUCUCCUCCGAAUUCCAUCAGCAGGUGUCAUCUGGCCCCGGUGGUUCGAUUUCGUCUGGUUUAUCGAUGUGGUUUAGACGUUCCUGUGGUCACUCGGCGCCCCUGACCUGUGUCUGUCGGAAGAUCCGGUCUGGUACGGGAACCUUUAGCGUCUUUGUUAAUAAAGCUCAAACGGAGGAGUCGUG